Oncorhynchus tshawytscha (Chinook salmon) is the source of this 1400-nucleotide long non-coding RNA. The record is from Ensembl. NCBI's taxonomy places the organism in Eukaryota, Metazoa, Chordata, Actinopteri, Salmoniformes, Salmonidae.
AUGCUGAAACAGGAAAGGGCAUUCCCCAAACUGUUGCCACAAAGUUGGAAGCACAGAAUUGUCUAGAAUGUCAUUGCAUACUGUAGCAUUAAGAUUUCCCUUCACUGGAACUUUCUGGAAUUUUAAACCUGACUGAGUCUGUAAUACCAACAUGUUUCAAGCCGACCAUCAUAAUCCCUGUGCCCAAGAACACUAAGGUAACCUGCCUAAAUUACUACUGACCCGUAGCACUCACGUCUGUAGUCAUGAAGUGCUUUGAAAGGCUGGUUAUGGCAAACCAUUAUCCCAGAAGCCCUAGACCCACUCCAAUUUGCAUACCGCCCCAACAGAUCCACAGAUGAUGCAAUCUCUAUUGAGAGAAAUGGCCCUGUUUUUGUUUUUUUUACCAGAAAAGGUAACUCAUCCACCAUGGCAGAAGAGGAAGUUCCAGACUGUUGGUUGGGAAACAAUAACAAAGAGGCAUGAGGAUUGGGUGUUGAGGGACGGGACCACAUUGUCCAAGUCCAUCCCUCAGGACAUCCCGUGCGUGGACGUGCUGUGCCAGUGUGAUUUUUGAGCGCAAGCAUCCAGUUGUGGAGAUCGAGCCUGUGGAUGGACAGAUCAGUAACUCAUCAAAUGUGAUACAACAAUAUGUCUUUAUGUCCAACAAAGAAGCAGGUGCCGCUUCCAGUGAAUUGGAGCUGACCUUGGACCUAGUGCCAGUGAGGAUGGUCUUCACUGAGGCGGUAAGACCCUCCCUCUUGAUAUAAAAAUCCUUUGACUUCACUGCCUCUUCAAUGGUAAGGCCCCUUGCACCAUAGGGACACUUGACCUCCACCGCUGUGGUGGCCACUAGACCAUCUGGUGAGGCACCCAGGAUCCCAGACCCCAUGAACCAAAGCCAUGACUCAUGCACAUCCAUCUCUGUAGACAUUUUGAAUGCCUUGAUGUCCACUUCUUUGUUAUCUGUGCCCCACUUUACAGACAACACCCCACCCAAUGACAUGACAUGCCAUUCCACAGAAUCUGCUUCGGAGACGGUUCAGAGAGAGAGAGAGAGAGAGAGAGAGAGAGAGAGAGAGAGAGAGAACCAUACUGAAGAUCCUCCUCUGUGGGGUCCUCCACUUGCUGCACCUGUUUGGGCAUGGCUGGCUUCCUUCUCUUACAUUCCACACCCAUACGACCGAUAUUGUGAACCUCCAAAAUAGGCUGCAUGGCUACACUGAUAAGCUCCAUGGAGGCAUUCGCAUGUGGUAGAGAGAAUCCCCUUGUCAACUAUAGAGACCUGCCAAGAGGAAGGAUGUUAAGUGCCACAUGCCUUUCAAUGCAUGACUGUGAACACCUUGAAAUCCAUUAGUUGUAAGAAAUGUGCUAUAUAAAUAAAGUUUGAUUUGAUUGAUGACACUGCAGCUGUACAAUAU